This is a long non-coding RNA of Helianthus annuus (common sunflower), 2710 nucleotides long. RefSeq lists it as uncharacterized. The transcript is spliced from 13 exons. The record is from RefSeq and is a predicted model, not a curated record. Lineage: Eukaryota; Viridiplantae; Streptophyta; Magnoliopsida; Asterales; Asteraceae.
AUUAAUAUAAAUUAAAUUUUUCUACCCGCGAAGUUCGCGGGUGAUAACCUAGUAUAUAUAUAAAUAUGAUAAAUAAGAGCUGAUGUGUUAUGAUGUAAGGGCUUGGAAAAUGAUGUGGCAUCACCAUAGGCACUCUAGAAUUUGGUUUUGGCUCCAAAAUUCGGGUCAUAAAAAUUCGUGUAUAUGGGUUAACGCGGGAUCCAUUUCCUUUAAUUUUGACCCGACUUCAUUUGUACGAUAUCUGUGCUUCUUUUCCAAAACCCUAGAGAGCCUCCAUCUCCAUUCUCCUCCUGCCGCUCUCCUCUUUUCCCGUUCCAUUUUCACAACAAAAAAAACCCUAAUCGCAAUGGGCGAACUUGGCCGAAUCUUCGUCUACAACACUCUUGAUGGUGGCACAGCGGUGAGUAUUUCAAGCCGUUCAACGUCACCGCCAACGAAGAAUGCUUAUUUCCGCCGGAAUUCACUACCCUUGAGCCACACCUCAGAUGUGGCCUAAUUUGGUCGCCAAGAGCAAGGACGGUGGGGCUGAUGUCAUUCAAACUUAUGUAUUCUGGAGUGGCCAUGAGCCAGUUAGGCAACAGUAUAAUUUUGAAGGGAUAUAUGAUUUUGUCAAGUUUGUUAAAUUGGUGGGAGCAAGUGGCCUUUAUCUUCAUCUCCGGAUCGGUCCAUAUGUUUGUGCAUAGUGGAACUUCGGGGGUUUCCCUGUGUGGCUUCAUGAUAUUCCUGGAAUUGUAUUCUGUACUGACAAUGAACUCUUUAAGGAAGAGAUGAAACGUUUUGCUAAAAAAUAGUAGGUUUGAUUCGAGAGGAAUCUCUCUUCUCUUGGCAAGGUGGCCCAAUCAUCAUGCUACAGAUUGAAAAUGAGUAUGGAAAUAUUGAAGAGUCUUAUGGCCAAAAAGGAAAAGACUACGUAAAAUGGGCUGCAAAAAUGGCUGUUGGACUUGGAGUUGGCGUCCCAUGGGUUAUGUGCGAGCAAGCUGAUGCUCCGGAAUACAUUAUAGAUGCCUGCAAUGGAUACUAUUGUGAUGGUUUUAAACCUAACUCCAACGAAAAACCAGUACUUUGGACAGAAAAUUGGGAUGGAUGGGCGUGAGGCGGAAGAGGUUGAGCCCAUACUAGAUGCACUGCCGAAUCUAGAACAGUAAGUUAUCACCAUAAGAAUUAAUUGACGAUGGUACAUAUACUGCUCUUUAGCCGAUGUUUACCUUAAAUCCGCUCUUUUACCACAUCGUGAGGUCCGUUUUUAAACAUUUUUUAAACAACCUUUUACUAGGAAGCUCGAGACCGAGGCCUUACUAGAGUCAAAGGGUGUCAACUACACUUCUAUAAGACCCGUUUAUAUCUACGAUCCAUUGAACUACAACCCUGUCGAAGAGUGGUUUUUCCAUAGGUUGAAAGCGGGCCGACUCAUCCCCAUUCCCAACUCAGGUUUGCAAGUAUCCCAACUCGGUCACAUAAAGGUUUUGGCUACAGCUUCUAUAUAAAUAUGCUCCACACCAUUUUUAUAAGUUUUGACGUUUUAAUAUUUAUUUCCAAAGGCGUGAGGCGGAAGAGGUUGAGCCCAUACGAGAUGCACUGUCAAUCUAGAACAGUACAUAUACUGCUCUAAGAGCCGGUGUUUACCUUGAAUCCGAUAUUUUACCACAUUGCGAGAUUGAUGCGGUUGACCCUAAAGGCCGACACAAGGGGAAUCUCGAGACCGAGGCCCAACUAGAGUCAAAGGUGUCAACUACACUUCUAUAAGACCCGUUUAUAUCUACGACCCGCUGAACUACAACCCUGUCGAAGAGUGGUUUUUCCAUAGGUUGAAAGCGGGCCGACCCAUCCCCAUUCCCAAAUCAGGUUUGCAAGUAACUCAACUCGGUCACGUAAAGGUUAGUAAAAGUGUACAACUAAUAAUUAUUUUGUGACUUCAAAAGUCAAACGGUCUUGAUGUGUCAACGUUGACCAAAUGGAGGAUUUGGCCACAACUUUUAUAAAAGUUUUGGGGAAUGAAAAGCAAGCAAACAAGUGUACAACUUUUCGGGAGAUAGAUAUGUUACUUUCGAUGGAUUAGCAAGAGCUUGCGCUAAGGUAAAUCUUGCAGGCUGGUGGAUUCUCUGAGCCCGAGAUCAUUCACUAUAAUCCUAAGGAGUUCCAUUACGGUAAAAAGAAAGCAUUUCCAUUACAGGGCCAGGUAAACACCAACUUAUAUAUACGUGUGGAAAGUCAACCUUGUGUUUGACUUUUACCUAGGGGCCUAAAGUUUUUAAAAAUGACCCGACCCGAUACGAACCGAUUUUUUUACUUAUAUACCUAGGGGCCUAAAAUUUUAAAAAAUGUUCCGCACCCCUAUGGAAAAAUUCCUAGGUCCGCCACUGAGUAUCAAGCUUAAUCAUCCUUUGAUCGGGUAGGUUUUCAACUUGAUCUAUGUUAAGUUUUUGAUUCAGCUAAGAUUUCGUGUUUUAUUAUGCAGAUAUGCAAUGACAAAGAUCAAGCAAAUUCAUGGUUUCGUGGCUUAAAACUGUACUUUACUCGCUUUGUUGUUUUAAAAUUAAGGAAUUUGGCUUGAGUUGUCAUAUAAGUUUAAUAAAUUUUGGCCUUAUUGAGUUUUUUACACUAUAAUUUGUUUAACCAAGUGAUAUUAAGCGUAUAAUAAUUGAUUUUGUUAUGUUUCAUGUUGACAUAUGUGUGUAGAUGGUCUGUAUGUAUAUAGUGUGUUUCGCUACUU